RNAcentral lists this unclassified non-coding RNA (249 nucleotides) under Glomus sp. RNAcentral's name for it is "partial contains 5.8S ribosomal RNA and internal transcribed spacer 2". The stretch from base 1 to 65 matches the Rfam family "5.8S ribosomal RNA", at positions 84 to 154 of the family's 154-position model. Lineage: Eukaryota; Fungi; Glomeromycota; Glomeromycetes; Glomerales; Glomeraceae. The record is from RNAcentral.
GUGAAUCAUCGAAUCUUUGAACGCAAAUUGCACUCUCUGCUGAGAGUAUGCCUGUUUGAGGGUCAGCCUAAAAAAAUUCGACAUAGUCGCUGUUUCUCGGUGACAUUCUUCGGAAAUUGUGUCAUCUUAAACCUUUUGGCUUUAAUCUGUUUAAAAUUGUCUUUACUAUUCCACGAACUAUUCUAUGAGUUAUUUUUUACAUUAUUAAAUUAACAGUUCUUGAUUAGACGUGGCCGUUUCAUCGGUAUU